RNAcentral lists this ribosomal RNA (406 nucleotides) under uncultured bacterium. Its description in RNAcentral is "partial 16S ribosomal RNA". It matches the Rfam family "Bacterial small subunit ribosomal RNA", at positions 30 to 526 of the family's 1533-position model. The record is from RNAcentral.
AUUGAACGCUGGCGGCAGGCCUAACACAUGCAAGUCGAACGAGUGGCGGACGGGUGAGUAAUGUCUGGGAAACAGCUAGAUGGAGGGGGUUAACUACUGGAAACGGUGGAUAAUACCGCAAACCAUCGGAUGUGCCCAGAUGGGAUUAGCUAGUAGGUGGGGUAACGGCUAACCUAGGCGACGAUCCCUGGCUGGUCUGAGAGGAUGACCAGCCAAACGGGAACUGAGACACGUCCCAGACUCCUACGGUAGGCAGCAGUGGGGAAUAUUGCACAAUUGGCGAAGGCCUGAUGCAGCCCUGCCGCGUGUAUGAAGAAGGCCUUCGGGUUGUAAAGUACUUUCAGCGAGUAGGCGUUACUCGAAGAAGAAGCACCGGCUAACUCCGUGCCAGCAGCCGCGGUAAUAC